Molecule: non-coding RNA, 1149 nt
Organism: Biomphalaria pfeifferi
Lineage: Eukaryota; Metazoa; Mollusca; Gastropoda; Planorbidae
Source: the annotation of a GenBank genome assembly
CCCCCCCCCCCCCCACAUCAAACAUUUCAUUCAUGAUGUUACUUGUAUCUAACUUAGUAAUGAAUAGUUUAUGCAGGAAUAGGGUGAACUCAGUUGCUGUGUUAAGCAAUAAUCUAUUCCAGUGUUCAUUAUCGUCACACAUGCUCAGAUCUUAGGCUUCUCCUAACCAUGAACAAAUGUGAAGGUUUCAAGACUUGUUUUUGUUCAGAGACAAAGCAGCAGAUAAGUAAUAACACUAUUCCUUCUGCCUGCUCAGCAAUUUACAUUUGUGAAUCCAAGAGUGGAGUAUUUCAAGUAUAAGUCUAGGUAGAGAUACAAUCUAGAGAAAGUGUAUUUCAUAUUGAAUUGACCUUAUAGAAUGUCCUUAUUUCUGAAAUCUAAGCUUGCCUUUAAUAUCUUUUUUUAUUCUUCCACGGAUGGAGAGAUUUUGUAAUUAGAAAACAAUUUUACAUCGGCAAGGUAGAAAAAAUCUAAUUUAAAGAUCAAAGCUUUAUUUUUUUUUUAAAUGAAAUAGAAAAGUUCUGCACAGACAGUAGUCUCCUCAAAGUUUCUGGACAUGACAGUGUAAGUCUCACAGUCGAAUGUCCAGAAACGAAAUUUCACCCUGGUAACAAAAUACAUUUUUUUUAGAUAUUUGUUUUGCUCUGCCUUUGGUUUGGUAGACUAUUAUGUGGUUUAAAUAAUAAAUAAGAAUUAGUAUGCUUCCCUUUCAGCUAGACAUAUUUGUUAUGUCCCCUAUCUGACCAUAAGUUACUUUCCUUGCCGAUGUGCUGUAUGGUAACCAAAGAGAGACUAAGACAAAAUAACUUUUUUUUUCAGUGUAGAAAUCUUUAACAUAACGACUCCUUGUUUUCAAACCUGCAGACAAUUAAAAUCAGACUACACGUGAGAUUGAAUUUAGAGCAAGUACUAGAUGAUUGCAUUGCAUUCAAUCUUAGAUAUGUGUGUUGGGAAUGUUUAAUAGUUGCAGAACUGUGUGUGCUGCUUUCAUCUUUGGAUUCCAUUCAACUAUAAUUAGGAUAGGAAGAGGUUUUCAUUUGAAUUGUGGCUUGUUCAUUUUAAAUGCUUUCACAAAUGUAACCUCCCCCAACCCCAUCCCCCUGAGAAUUUUUUUUUUGUAAAGUUUCAUAGAUGGUUCCCCCCCCCCCU